AUACGUAGGGGGCAAGCGUUAUCCGGAUUUACUGGGUGUAAAGGGAGCGUAGACGGAAUGGCAAGUCUGAUGUGAAAGGCCGGGGCUCAACCCCGGGACUGCAUUGGAAACUGUCAGGCUAGAGUGCAGGAGGGGUAAGCGGAAUUCCUAGUGUAGCGGUGAAAUGCGUAGAUAUUAGGAGGAACACCGGUGGCGAAGGCGGCUUACUGGACUGUAACUGACGUUGAGGCUCGAAAGCGUGGGGAGCAAACAGGAUUAGAUACCCUGGUAGUCCACGCCGUAAACGAUAAAUACUAGGUGUUGGGUUCCAAUAGGGAUUCGGUGCCGCAGCUAACGCAAUAAGUAUUCCACCUGGGGAGUACGUUCGCAAGAAUGAAACUCAAAUGAAUUGACGGGG
RNAcentral lists this ribosomal RNA (397 nucleotides) under uncultured bacterium. RNAcentral's name for it is "partial 16S ribosomal RNA". It matches the Rfam family "Bacterial small subunit ribosomal RNA", at positions 523 to 918 of the family's 1533-position model. The record is from RNAcentral.